RNAcentral lists this ribosomal RNA (429 nucleotides) under Bacteroidota bacterium. RNAcentral's name for it is "Bacteroidetes bacterium partial 16S ribosomal RNA". It matches the Rfam family "Bacterial small subunit ribosomal RNA", at positions 355 to 776 of the family's 1533-position model. Lineage: Bacteria; Pseudomonadati; Bacteroidota. The record is from RNAcentral.
UAAGGAAUCUUCCGCAAUGGACGCAAGUCUGACGGAGCAACGCCGCGUGAGUGAAGAAGGAUUUCGGUUCGUAAAACUCUGUUGUUAGAGAAGAACAGCGCAUAGAGUAACUGUUAUGCGUGUGACGGUAUCUAACCAGAAAGCCACGGCUAACUACGUGCCAGCAGCCGCGGUAAUACGUAGGUGGCAAGCGUUGUCCGGAUUUAUUGGGCGUAAAGCGAGCGCAGGCGGUCAAUUAAGUCUGAUGUGAAAGCCCCCGGCUCAACCGGGGAGGGUCAUUGGAAACUGGUUGACUUGAGUGCAGAAGAGGAGAGUGGAAUUCCAUGUGUAGCGGUGAAAUGCGUAGAUAUAUGGAGGAACACCAGUGGCGAAGGCGACUCUCUGGUCUGUAACUGACGCUGAGGUUCGAAAGCGUGGGUAGCAAACAGG